Dicentrarchus labrax (European seabass) is the source of this 1729-nucleotide long non-coding RNA. RefSeq lists it as uncharacterized. Lineage: Eukaryota; Metazoa; Chordata; Actinopteri; Moronidae. The record is from RefSeq and is a predicted model, not a curated record. The transcript has 5 exons.
CUCUUCAGUUUGCAGUCAUUAUUGUUUUCUUUUCAUCUACGUUACAAUCAUGAUCAGACUUCUUAUACAUUUAGCAGCUCUGCCGUUCUGUUUAACAGAACUCUCAAAAACCAGCGUUCAUCAGACUCCCACUGCCAUGAUUAAAGAUGCUGGAGAAGACAUCCUGAUGAACUGCAACCAUUCAAACACUGAUUUUACAAUGAUCCAGUGGUACAAACAUUCUGCUGGGGAAAAUGAUAUGGCUUUAAUUGGUUAUGUACGACUCAGUUCUAGCGUUGUUGAAGAUAAAUUCAAAGACUCUUAUAAUGUGAGCGGUCAUGGAUCAAGUCUGGCACAUCUUCAUAUUCCAAAGAGUCGAUCCGAGAACAGCGCAGUGUAUUUCUGUGCAGCCAGUAGAGCACAGUGCUACACAAACCCUCCGUCUUUAACAAAAACCUUCUCUGACGCAGCCAGUUACAGAAAUUACCACUUGAACCACAUUGUGAAUGACUGAUAGACAGCUGGUGCACCAUGAGACAGGAGGACUUAAUCAGAAAGGGAGGAGGGAAUCCUCUGUAUACCAGCAUAGUGAAGAAAACAGCACCAGAAACAAGACUGACUUUGAAAACACAACAUGAUGAUCAUUGUCUGCUGCAUAACCUUGAAUGUUAUACUGGUUUCAGGUUCCUCUCUAAAUGAACUAGUCUACCAGAAUCCAGCCCACACUUUCAACAAACCUGAAGGAGCAGCUAAAAUUGAGUGUUCACACAGUAUUCAAAACUAUGAUACAAUCCUCUGGUACAAGAAAUCAAAGAACAGACAGCUGCAGUUGCUUGGAUACAUGGUGGGAGGCAGUGGAUCUCCAGAGAAGGGAGUGAAUGUGAAGAUAGCAGGGAGUGCAAAUAAAGACCAAAACUGCACAUUAACAAUUGAAGAACUCCAGCUGAACAGCAGUGCAGUGUACUUCUGUGCUGCUAGUUUACACAGUGCUACAUAUCACUGCUCCUCAGUACAAAAACCUCCACAACACAUUUUGUCAUCUCGCUACUACAGCUCACAGCCUCUUGCACCUGUAUGCUUUCCUUUUAUGAGGUGGUGAUAUAUCUUUAAUCAGACCUUUAUACAGAGGCAGCAGUGGUAGUUGAGAUGAUGGUUAUAAUGUUAAGAGGAGGAGGAUACACUUAUGACACCACCCACCUCAUGCCUUCAUGUUGGUUUGCUGAUAGGAGGGUUUACUCAAAGAGGAGGAUGGAAAUAAUCAUAAUCAUCUGCCGACACACUGAGAAUAUCUUUUGUAUCAACAAUAAAAUUAUUACCAAACACAAAAGACAACAUGAUCAUCUUAUUCCUAAGCAUUCAUUUGAACACUAUUCUCGUUUCAGGUUCCUCUCUCAGUGACCAAGUCCAUCAGACUCCAGCUGACAUUUACAACACACCAGGACAAAUAGCCAAGAUCGAAUGUUCGCACACCAAUCCAAGCUUUGACCGAAUGUUCUGGUACAAGCAAACAGACGGACAACUACAGUUCCUGGGAUAUAUGUUAUGAAACGCUGGAAACCCAGAGAAUGGAGUGAAAGUGAAGAUAGAAGGGAGUGCAAGUAAAGGCCAAACCUGCACAUUAACAAUUGAAGAACUCCAGCUGAACAGCAGUGCAGUGUACUUCUGUGCUGCUAGAUUACACAGUGCUACAUAUCACUGCUCCUCAGUACAAAAACCUCCACAACACAUUUUGUCAUCUCGCUGCUUCAGC